RNAcentral lists this ribosomal RNA (1486 nucleotides) under metagenome. RNAcentral's name for it is "bacterial SSU rRNA". It matches the Rfam family "Bacterial small subunit ribosomal RNA". The record is from RNAcentral.
AGAGUUUGAUCCUGGCUCAGGAUGAACGCUGGCGGCGUGCUUAACACAUGCAAGUCGAACGAAGCACCUUGAUUUGAUUUUUCGGAUGAAGAUCCUGGUGACUGAGUGGCGGACGGGUGAGUAACGCGUGGGUAACCUGCCUCAUACAGGGGGAUAACAGUUAGAAAUGACUGCUAAUACCGCAUAAGACCACAGCACCGCAUGGUGCAGGGGUAAAAACUCCGGUGGUAUGAGAUGGACCCGCGUCUGAUUAGGUAGUUGGUGGGGUAACGGCCUACCAAGCCGACGAUCAGUAGCCGACCUGAGAGGGUGACCGGCCACAUUGGGACUGAGACACGGCCCAAACUCCUACGGGAGGCAGCAGUGGGGAAUAUUGCACAAUGGGGGAAACCCUGAUGCAGCGACGCCGCGUGAGCGAUGAAGUAUUUCGGUAUGUAAAGCUCUAUCAGCAGGGAAGAAAAUGACGGUACCUGACUAAGAAGCACCGGCUAAAUACGUGCCAGCAGCCGCGGUAAUACGUAUGGUGCAAGCGUUAUCCGGAUUUACUGGGUGUAAAGGGAGCGUAGACGGAGUGGCAAGUCUGAUGUGAAAACCCGGGGCUCAACCCCGGGACUGCAUUGGAAACUGUCAAUCUAGAGUACCGGAGAGGUAAGCGGAAUUCCUAGUGUAGCGGUGAAAUGCGUAGAUAUUAGGAGGAACACCAGUGGCGAAGGCGGCUUACUGGACGGUAACUGACGUUGAGGCUCGAAAGCGUGGGGAGCAAACAGGAUUAGAUACCCUGGUAGUCCGCACGGUAAACGAUGGAUGCCCGCUGUUGGCCUGAAUAGGUCAGCGGCCAAGCGAAAGCAUUAAGCAUCCCACCUGGGGAGUACGCCGGCAACGGUGAAACUCAAAGGAAUUGACGGGGGCCCGCACAAGCGGAGGAACAUGUGGUUUAAUUCGAUGAUACGCGAGGAACCUUACCCGGGCUUGAAUUGCAGAGGAAGGAUUUGGAGACAAUGACGCCCUUCGGGGCCUCUGUGAAGGUGCUGCAUGGUUGUCGUCAGCUCGUGCCGUGAGGUGUCGGCUUAAGUGCCAUAACGAGCGCAACCCCUCUCCUUAGUUGCCAUCAGGUCAUGCUGGGCACUCUGGGGACACUGCCACCGUAAGGUGUGAGGAAGGUGGGGAUGACGUCAAAUCAGCACGGCCCUUACGUCCGGGGCUACACACGUGUUACAAUGGCAGGUACAGAGAGACGGUCCCUUGCAAAAGGGAUCAAAUCCUCAAAGCCUGUCUCAGUUCGGACUGGGGUCUGCAACCCGACCCCACGAAGCUGGAUUCGCUAGUAAUCGCGCAUCAGCCAUGGCGCGGUGAAUACGUUCCCGGGCCUUGUACACACCGCCCGUCACACUAUGAGAGUCGGAAACACCCGAAGCCGGUGAGGUAACCGCAAGGAGCCAGCCGUCGAAGGUGGAGCUGAUGAUUGGAGUGAAGUCGUAACAAGGUA